ACGGUCCUAAGGUAGCGAAAUUCCUUGUCGGGUAAGUUCCGACCUGCACGAAUGGCAUAAUGAUGGCCAGGCUGUCUCCACCCGAGACUCAGUGAAAUUGAAAUCGCCGUGAAGAUGCGGUGUACCCGCGGCUAGACGGAAAGACCCCGUGAACCUUUACUAUAGCUUGACACUGAACAUUGAAUUUUGAUGUGUAGGAUAGGUGGGAGACUUUGAAGUAGUCACGCCAGUGAUUAUGGAGUCGUCCUUGAAAUACCACCCUUUAACGUUUGAUGUUCUAACGAAGAUUACGAAACGUGGUCUCGGACAGUGUCUGGUGGGUAGUUUGACUGGGGCGGUCUCCUCCCAAAGAGUAACGGAGGAGCACGAAGGUUUGCUAAUGACGGUCGGACAUCGUCAGGUUAGUGCAAUGGUAUAAGCAAGCUUAACUGCGAGACAGACAAGUCGAGCAGGUACGAAAGUAGGUCUUAGUGAUCCGGUGGUUCUGAAUGGAAGGGCCAUCGCUCAACGGAUAAAAGGUACUCCGGGGAUAACAGGCUGAUACCGCCCAAGAGUUCAUAUCGACGGCGGUGUUUGGCACCUCGAUGUCGGCUCAUCACAUCCUGGGGCUGAAGUAGGUCCCAAGGGUAUGGCUGUUCGCCAUUUAAAGUGGUACGCGAGCUGGGUUUAGAACGUCGUGAGACAGUUCGGUCCCUAUCUGCCGUGGGCGUUGGAGAAUUGAUUGGGGCUGCUCCUAGUACGAGAGGACCGGAGUGGACGCACCACUGGUGUUCCGGUUGUGUCGCCAGACGCAUUGCCGGGUAGCUAAGUGCGGAAGAGAUAAGUGCUGAAAGCAUCUAAGCACGAAACUUGCCAAGAGAUGAGUUCUCCCAGAUUACAAAUCUGUAAGGGUUGUUUAAGACUAAGACGUAGAUAGGUCUGGUGUGUAAGCGGUGCGAGCCGUUGAGCUAACAGAUACUAAUUGCCCGAGAGGCUUAACUAU
RNAcentral lists this ribosomal RNA (982 nucleotides) under human oral metagenome. RNAcentral's name for it is "bacterial LSU rRNA". It matches the Rfam family "Bacterial large subunit ribosomal RNA", at positions 1945 to 2925 of the family's 2925-position model. The record is from RNAcentral.